CCUAAGGUAGCGAAAUUCCUUGUCGGGUAAGUUCCGACCUGCACGAAUGGUGUAACGAUCUGGGCACUGUCUCGGCCAUGAGCUCGGUGAAAUUGUAGUAUCGGUGAAGAUGCCGAUUACCCGUAGUGGGACGAAAAGACCCCGUGAACCUUCACUAUAGCUUAGUAUUGACUUCGGAUAAUGGAUGUGUAGGAUAGGUGGGAGAUAAUGAAGCGUGGUCGCUAGGCUGCGUGGAAUCAUCCUUGAAAUACCACCCUUCUGUUAUUUGGAGCCUAACCCCGCAAGGGGGACAGUGCUUGGUGGGUAGUUUGACUGGGGUGGUCGCCUCCAAAAGAGUAACGGAGGCUUCCAAAGGUACCCUCAGCACGGUUGGUAACCGUGCGUAGAGUGCAAUGGCACAAGGGUGCUUAACUGUGAGACCUACAAGUCGAGCAGGCACGAAAGUGGGGCAUAGUGAUCCGGUGGUUCCGCAUGGGUGGGCCAUCGCUCAAAGGAUAAAAGGUACUCCGGGGAUAACAGGCUGAUCCUUCCCAAGAGCUCACAUCGACGGGAGGGUUUGGCACCUCGAUGUCGGCUCGUCACAUCCUGGGGCUGGAGAAGGUCCCAAGGGUUGGGCUGUUCGCCCAUUAAAGUGGCACGCGAGCUGGGUUCAGAACGUCGCGAGACAGUUCGGUCUCUAUCUACUAUGGGCGUUAGAAAUUUGAGGGGAGCUGACUUUAGUACGAGAGGACCGAGUCGGACGCACCUCUAGUGUACCUGUUGUGGCGCCAGCUGCAUCGCAGGGUAGCUAUGUGCGGAUGGGAUAAGCGCUGAAAGCAUAUAAGCGCGAAGCCCACCCCAAGAUGAGAUUUCUCUUAAGGGUCGUUCGAGACUAGGACGUUGAUAGGCUAUAGGUGUAAAGGCAGUAAUGUCAUAGCCGAGUAGUACUAAUUACCCGUGGAUUC
Molecule: ribosomal RNA, 944 nt
Filed under: Flavobacteriales bacterium
Lineage: Bacteria; Pseudomonadati; Bacteroidota; Flavobacteriia; Flavobacteriales
Description: bacterial LSU rRNA
Rfam family: Bacterial large subunit ribosomal RNA
Source: RNAcentral